RNAcentral lists this small RNA (429 nucleotides) under Pleosporales sp. 1 MU-2012. RNAcentral's name for it is "eukaryotic LSU rRNA". The stretch from base 117 to 270 matches the Rfam family "5.8S ribosomal RNA". The record is from RNAcentral. Lineage: Eukaryota; Fungi; Ascomycota; Dothideomycetes; Pleosporales.
ACCUCUUACCCAUGUCUUUUGAGUACCUUCGUUUCCUCGGCGGGUCCGCCCGCCGAUUGGACAACAUUCAAACCCUUUGCAGUUGCAAUCAGCGUCUGAAAAAACAUAAUAGUUACAACUUUCAACAACGGAUCUCUUGGUUCUGGCAUCGAUGAAGAACGCAGCGAAAUGCGAUAAGUAGUGUGAAUUGCAGAAUUCAGUGAAUCAUCGAAUCUUUGAACGCACAUUGCGCCCCUUGGUAUUCCAUGGGGCAUGCCUGUUCGAGCGUCAUUUGUACCUUCAAGCUCUGCUUGGUGUUGGGUGUUUGUCUCUCCUCUGCGUGUAGACUCGCCUUAAAACAAUUGGCAGCCGGCGUAUUGAUUUCGGAGCGCAGUACAUCUCGCGCUUUGCACUCAUAACGACGACGUCCAAAAGUACAUUUUUACACUC